GAUGAACGCUGGCGGCGUGCCUAAUACAUGCAAGUCGAGCGAACAGAUGAGGGGCUUGCUCCUCUGACGUUAGCGGCGGACGGGUUAGUAACACGUGGAUAACCUACCUAUAAGACUGGGAUAACUUCGGGAAACCGGAGCUAAUACCGGAUAAUAUAUUGAACCGCAUGGUUCAAUAGUGAAAGACGGUUUUGCUGUCACUUACAGAUGGAUCCGCGCCGCAUUAGCUAGUUGGUAAGGUAACGGCUUACCAAGGCAACGAUGCGUAGCUGACCUGAGAGGGUGAUCGGCCACACUGGAACUGAGACACGGUCCAGACUCCUACGGGAGGCAGCAGUGGGGAAUCUUGCGCAAUGGGCGAAAGCCUGACGGAGCAACGCCGCGUGAGUGAUGAAGGUCUUCGGAUCGUAAAACUCUGUUAUUAGGGAAGAACAAAUGUGUAAGUAACUAUGCACGUCUUGACGGUACCUAAUCAGAAAGCCACGGCUAACUACGUG
Molecule: ribosomal RNA, 497 nt
Filed under: uncultured bacterium
Lineage: Bacteria
Description: partial 16S ribosomal RNA
Rfam family: Bacterial small subunit ribosomal RNA
Source: RNAcentral